Molecule: non-coding RNA, 988 nt
Organism: Camellia sinensis
Lineage: Eukaryota; Viridiplantae; Streptophyta; Magnoliopsida; Ericales; Theaceae
Source: RefSeq, a predicted model, not a curated record
UUUGUGUGACUUGUUUAUCUUAUAAUCACUUUAACUUUGUAAUCUUUCGGAAGAAACAUUGCUGGAUCUCCAGAAAACUGUUGCAUUAUUAUCUGAAUUUGAUCCAGAAAACCAUAUCUGUAGAUCACACAUCUUGGUAAUAUGUUCACAAGUAAAUGUACAUUACUUACGAAAGAACAAUUGCGAUCAUGUAGAUGUGAAGUAAAUGAUUACUGUACCUUGAAAGUUUAAACCCGUCAGAAGUUUUGAGAUGUAAACACGUGCAAUGUCUAUGAUGCUACUAUGCCGCCUGACAUGGUUGUGAAAGUUUUUCUCUGGAGUAUGUCUAAAGUUUGCAGGAACAGACAAAACCCUUUCUUUAUUUUUUUUUCUUUCUUGUUUGUUUUCCUUCUUUUUCUUUUUCUUUUUUCAAGGUACAAAGGUGGACUCUCAACCAAUCAUUUCUAGUUUUUCUUCUUAAUCCCAAUGAUUUUUGUUAAAUUCUGAAGAAUGUAGAGGACAUUAAUAGAGUUUGCUUCAGCUUUCAUCUGUUUCAGUCUUUAUCGUUCGGGUGAUAAUGGAAGUUUUUUGUGCACGUGUGUGCAUGAGUUUUCCCAGCCCAUGUCAUCAAAGAGCAGGCUACUUUAUUGAAAUCAAAGUUCAAAGUGUCUUGAGAUACCUAUUGAUAGAGUCUAUAAGAAGAGCAAGAAACAACAAAAUGAAACAAGCAGCCAAGUUAGAAAAUUGGUUGAAGCAUAGAAAUUGAAUAAAACUCUCUUUGAAGGUAGAGUCCUCAAGGGAUGGAGGAUCCAAUCAUAUUGCUGCCCAGACUUUACAUUUGACGAAUUGGAAUAAAACAUAAAUGAGAGUAUACUGGCUGCCAACUAACUUAUAGUAACAUAAAAUAAGAAUCAAAUUAAGUAAAAAAAUAAAUUACAACUGAUCCAGAAGAAGUGAAAUUCCCAAUUUGAUCCCAUUUUUCCUUCCAUGCUCUGCAUUAAAGUUUUUA